GUCGCGAUAAGCGAAUCGAAUUGGUACGACUUGCUAUUUUUGGUUACCUUUAUGUUACGUCAUGAUGCAGACGCGUCGACAGUCUCCGUCUGAUUUUUUAUCUAAAUCUCAGGAAAUUACAGUUCUUUUACCAUACAUUGACACGGAAUAAAUCUGGACCUUGU
Long non-coding RNA from Ostrea edulis (European flat oyster), 164 nucleotides. RefSeq lists it as uncharacterized. NCBI's taxonomy places the organism in Eukaryota, Metazoa, Mollusca, Bivalvia, Ostreida, Ostreidae. The record is from RefSeq and is a predicted model, not a curated record. The transcript is spliced from 2 exons.